ACACGUGCGACAUCGACGCAGUAUUAUGACGUUACCUUUGCCCAGAGUUCAGUAACUUCAUUAGUGUGUGCUGUUAUAAUUAUUCUAUUUAGAAACCUGUUCUAUGCUCUCAUUGCUCCGCGCAGUGGGUCCACUUAAUACUACUAAUGUGAAGUGACCCCUGAUGUCAUGCCUCCAACCAUGGCUCAGAUAAGUGAUCCAAAGAUCGCAUUUGCCUAUCUGCGUCCGGCCUGUGUCCUGCUCACUCGAGAUCCCACUGUGACCAAUGUGGAGACACUGAGCGCCCAGUUGAAAGAAGUCAACGAUGCCACGUUGCAGCAGCUCCAAGAGUACGUCCUAUUUCCUCUUCGCUUCGUCCUUAAAGUCCCCACGCCCAAGAAGGACCAAUUGGUGCAGGCUGUGGCUGAGGCCAUGAGCCACGUGCUGGAGAAAACUUGUGUCCAGACCUGGGAGACCCUCCGUGACCUUCUAUCAGAGCUUAGCCUCUGCUUGUGCUCUCCAACCGAUCCUGGGAAACCUGCAGAUACAUCAGAGGAGCUGAAAUCAGCUGUGCUGAGGUGCCUGGAUGCACUGCUUCAUGCUGCUUACGGUGAUAUAGUCUUCAAACUCUUUGAACCCGUUAUGCUGCCCGGACUGGGAGCUGCCAUAUCACUGCUGCUGGCUUUAGGAGAGAAUGAGAAAUCUCGAGAUAUACAGUCAUCAGCGUUGAAGUGCCUCCAGGCUUUGACUCUGCAAUGUGAUUGCACUCAGGAGCACAUAGUCCCAUCCUCAGAGGAGAGAUGCACUAUAGGCAGCACCAUGGCUUCAUUCUUACCUGGGAUCACUAUGGCUGUAGCCAGGAUCAUUACAGGAGAUCUGAGACAUGGCCAUGCAGUCACAGUCAGGGCGAUCAAGGUUUGGUCCAGGACUGUGGGGCUUGUCAUGGAAGACACCCAGCUGCAAGCCAGUGAGCCCUGGAAGACUCCCUCACCUGACCUGGGGAGAAUCAGACAGCUGGUGGUCCAUCGGACACAAGACUGGGUGAAGAGCACAGCGGGGAAACUGUUUGUGCUCCUGAAGAAGAUUAUCUCCUGCACCGUGGCUCACCAGCACUGGACGGUUAGACUAGAGAUGGUGGAGCUAGUUGACCAUCUGCUGGCCAGGUGUAGCCAGUCACUGGGAGAGUGUGUGGGACUGCUACUGGAAGCACUGGUGGGAGCAGUCAAUGAUGAGGAGCCCAGAGUCAGAAAGAGGUGUGAGGUCACUCUCAGAGAGGUAUCACAGAGGCAUCAGAGCUGCAGCAGUGAUACCAGCAAAAGCAGCAGCAGCAGCAGUGCUCAGACCUUCACUGAUGUGCUUUCAGAGAAUCUCCACUCUUUGGCCACCUCCCUGCCCAGACUGAUGAGGACCUCUGAUGACCAGAAGAAGCUGUUUGUCCUCAACGUGUUUCUGGGUUAUUUAAAAGUCCUGGGACCACUUGUCUCUGUGGUACUAAACUCAGCUGCACAUCUUGAGAGGAUUUCCAAAGCCUUGAUGCAGGUGCUGGAGCUGGAUGUGAUGGAUGUUCGCAUUGUGGAGGAAAGGAGUUAUGCUGCUACCAUAGAGACAGGCUCAGGCUCUCAUGAUUCCUACACUGCUCACGCACAGAGGAAGCAUUUUCUCUACUUCACAGAUGAGAAGAUCUUCUCUGUGCUCAUGGAGAUCUGUCGAACAUUAGGUUACUAUGGCAACAUUUACCUGCUGACAGAUCACUUCCUGGAUCUGUAUCAACUGUCUUCUGCAUACAGAAAGCAGGCUGCCAUGGUGCUAAAUGAGAUCGUCAGGGGUUCCGCAGGCAUAGCCGUGGCAACAGGGGGUCAGGGUUUGGAGAGUCAAGUUCGGGGACACUCUGCCACCCAGGAAGACCUUAAAGUGGCAAUGGUGUCUGUCAUGGAGGAAUACACCAGUCUGAAAAACUGGCACUUGAUUACAGUCAGUGAGGAGACGGAUAGAGACCGGGAGGACCAGCAGCUGCUCAGCCCAUCCAGACACCUCUCCAUAUCCAACAGCAGUGUCAGCAACACUAAUGCAAACUCUCUCGAAGUGAUUCCUUCCACAUUUGCCUUCCCGUCUCCCUCAUCGUCCACCUCCACAAUCCACCAGCUCAACAGCAACAUCUGGCAACUGUGCAUCCAACUUGAGGGCAUCGCCUGCUUUGCUCAGGCCCUGGGGCGUGACUUUCGUCCCUUGUUGAUGACAGCACUGUACCCCGUACUGGAGAAAGCUGGGGAGGAGACACUGCUGGUCAGCCAGGCAGCACUGGGCUCCAUGUGGGACAUCAGUAAGGCCUGUGGCUACCCCUCCCUGAAGGAGCUGAUCAAUGAGAACUCAGACUACCUGCUCAAUGACAUAUCACUUAACCUGCAGAGGCUCAGCCAGCAUCCACAGGCUCCACGGGUGUUGACAGUGAUGUUAACUCACUCUGACUGCAGCCUGCUGCCUCUGGUUGGGGACAUCGUUCAGGAUGUGCUGAUGGCUCUGGAUCUCAGUUACGACAACACAGCUGCUCUUUUCUGCUCUGUGCUACACGCGCUCAUGACGGCACUGGUGAGGUGGUUUCCCUCCAGUUGUGGUAGAACCAGUGAGUCUGCCAGACCCAAGAAGACCUCCACUCACAAGGAAAUCCUCAACAUCCGCCAAUUCCUGCUGGAUCACCGCAAACAGAAAGAGCUGGCAGAGGGCAUUGGGAUAGAGGAGGAGGACACUGAGGACCAUGAAGUCCCUCCUCCUACAGAGUGUGAGGAUGUUGAAGAUAUUGGUGGUCCUGAUAUGAAAGCAGAGCUUCCUUCCCACCUCAGCAUCACUAAAGAUGUUAUGGAGCGCUGCAUUCAUCUGCUGUCCCACCCUAGUCUCAGGCUCCGACUCAAGGUACUGGAUGUGCUGGAGCUAUGUGUGUGUGCACUGAGUGAGAAGGAAAAUGAAUUGCUGCCUAUGGCUCAUCGCUGCUGGCCCGCCCUCCUACAGAGACUCACAGCUGAUGACCCUUUAGCUGUCCUCAGAGCCUUCAGGUUGCUGUGUACGCUGGGUGAAACAUGUGGUGACUUCCUGAGGAGGAGGGUUUCUAAAGAGGUUCUGCCCAAGCUGAGCUCCUCGCUGGCACGGCAAGCUCCAAUCAGCGCCAAGGCCGGACCCGUCUACACGCACACCCUGGUCUACAAACUGCAGCUGGCUGUACUGCAGGGGCUGGGCUCACUGUGCCAAAGGCUGGAUCUAGUUGGACGUGCCAUGAAAAUCUCUUAGGAAGGGCGCCCAGGAGGCAUACUGAUCAGAUGCCCAAACCACCUCAAUUGACUCCUGUUGACGCGAAAGAGCAGCGGCCCUACUCCAAGUUCAUUCCAGAUGUCUGAGUUCCUUACUCCACAUUUAAAGCUCCCCUUUCACCACAUUGGUCCGGUACAAUGCCGGCAUUACUGCUGACGUUGCACCAAUCCGCCUGUCAAUCUCACGCUCCAUUUUACCCUCACUCGUGAACAAGAACCAGAGAUACUUGAACUCCAACACUUUUAGCAGAAAGUCACUAACAACCUGGAGCGAACAAUCCACCGUUUUCCGGCAGAGAACCAUGGUCUCAGACUUGCAGGUGCUGACUUUCAUCUCAACCACUUCACAUUCGACUGCACACCACCCACCAUGGACAUGAUUGUAAGUCCACAAAAUACAUAUAGACUGGAUGGGCAAACUCCCUUGACCCCCUCUAGUAACCCUGCAAGGGUAAAGAUCUGGGCCACUGUUCCACGACCAGGACGGAAUCCGCAUUGCUUCUCCUGGAUCUGAGGUUCGACACGGUGCCUCCUUUCUAGCACCCUGGCAUAAGCUUUCCCAGGGAGGCUGAGCAGUGUGAUACCCCGAUAAUUGGAGCAUACCUUCCGAUCCCGGUCUGCCAUUCCGUAGUCACUGUCCCUGACCUCUAAGCAACAUUGAAGAGGCGUGUCAGCCACGACAGCCCAACAAUGUCCAGAGCCUUCAGCAUCUCAAGGCGAAUCUCAUGCAUACCUGCCGCCUUGCCCUGAGGAGAGGCAGCUUUAAGUUUUUUUUUAAAUGACCAUGAUAUAAACAUUAUAAUCCAUUCUGCGAUGUAAUUUAAAACAACACUUACUCACCUUAUGCUUUGUGUUGGGUGUUUCUUUGCCUCUGGAUUGUUCGUACAUAAUGAUAUCAAAAUGUAAAAGUGUUUUCCACAUGUCCACAAUGAGAGGACCUGAUGUCUGAAAGAUACUGUGUAUUUGUUACACAGCCCAGAUUAUGUUCAUUACAAAGUAACAACUUACAAAGAAAUACACUUCUAACAAACCAACCUGCAUUUGAUGUAGUUGUAGUCUCUGUCAACUUGGUGAAAGCAGCAGCUCUGGGUGUUGGUGUUGAUAAAUUACUCCUUUUUACCACCAGAUACCCUUGUUUGCCUGUAUUUUUCCACAAGAGAGAAAAAAUUAACCUAGCUCUGCUGCCACAGUUACACCAUUAGAGAUGUAAUGAUACGUUCAGCUCACAAUUUGGCUUGAUAUGCCAUACUGGGUUCUCGCUUUGAUAUUAACACAGUAUUUCAAACAAAAUCAGAAUAAAGCCAAUCAUGACUGAAAUGUUUUUUUCUGGAUUUCCGUGAAGCCAAAAUAAUUAACUUUAAUGUUUUUUUUCAUCCUUUGCAAUUCACAUAUAACACGACAUAUUUCACUCAAACAAACGGAAAAAAACAGACAAAUAUAUGGACUCAAACCCAACAGUAAAUCUUACACUGUUGUGAGUUUUAACAUUGCGAUGUGGUUUUACUAGUCGUCCUUGUAAGUCAGUGUUCUCUUACAGUAACUUCCAAAGCAAAAAUAUAUUGGAUUCUCAACUAACAGUUGUCAGCUAGAAGGCGUAGCUCUGUCAGUCUGAUUACCUCCCACUGUAUUUUCGUUCUGCCUUGUCACUGCCACCAAAAGUAUGUAACAGUCAACCCUAAUAAAUUAAACUUGAAAUUGCGUCUGUUAAAUGGGUUAGUUAGCUGUGUGAUAAAGUCACGUUAGGACAAAUUACCCUAGUCAGUUAACUGAAAAUUAUGUAUUAGUUAGUGUGAUAGACCACAGAUAACUUUGUGAAACAUUCACUGCAAGAUUUUGUGUUGCAAAGUUUCUUUACAUUCUCAUGAACUAUUUUUGAAAAGAAGUCAAAAAUAAGUAAAUUUACUUGGUUAUUGGACCUUUUGAGAAAUUCCUCAAUAUUUUUGCCUAGCUUUAUAUUCUUCUCUGCAAGUCUUUGGUGCACCAACAACAAUGUUAGGAUGCCCUCCCUCGUCAUACUUGACCUUUGUAGUGAUAUCUGGUUUGUCCGACAUCUUUAUAAGACUUUUCUAAGACACAGUUUCUCUGCACCUUUAUGUGUGGCUGGCUCUGCAUUAUUAAUAGGUUUUUGAUUCUCUAGGUUUUCCCUAACAUUAUUUUAUACUAGAGUUCAUCAUGAACAUAACAUUUCCAAAUGAAAUAAAACAUUUGGCAUAUAUGUCAUUAUACAAUGGAUAUAUUGCUCACAGUAAAAACUCAUCAGUUAUGAUGCAGCUAUAAACUCCUACAUUACUUGCUGUCUUACUUUCCUGUUUUCUGUCUCUUUCUUUAUUUAAACCAAAUAUGAUUAAAGGUAUGAAAAUGUGCACCAGCCAUGAUAUGUUUAGGUUUGGUCCAUCUUAACCACUCGUGUCUUCAACAUUGAAGAAAAUAAUUUCUCUAUGUAAGUAUCCCAUUUAAUUCAAUGUAGCAGAGUACUCAGAAUAGCUAGCACUGUUUUUCUUUUUCUGUUUUAAACUGCUAUAGGAGACUAUAGACAUUAUGUAGCAUUAUGAGUUGAGUGUGUUGAGUGUUGAGUGAGUGAAUGUAACUAUGAGACAACACAGAAACUGAUUUUAAACUGUAUAAAAGUUACACAGGUGUAACUAAUACGUACUCGUUAGGACUAAUGACAAUGUGGUUGAAAUCAAAAGUUCGGAGGCAAAGUCAUCAGAGUUUUUUAAAGACCUUUAUUGAAAUCAAUAAAGACCUGAAUCGGUUUGCAAAGCAACUGAAUCACACAAGCAUACAGUUCAGUAUUUGUACAUCUCAUCAUAGAGGGUUGUAACCUCACGCACCAAUUACAGCAGAUCCUGAACGUACACCUCUUGAUCAUCUGAUUAUCAUUUAUGUUGCGGCAUGGUCAGCCUUGUUCUCUGUGUCACAUUCAAACCAAGAGCACAAACAUUGGCAUUUUGUCUAGAUUUCGGAAUGUCAUCCCCAAGGCUUACUUGAUGAGUCUAAACCUUUGGAAUGUCAGCCUUAAAGCUUGUUUAUCUUCAUCAAACACAUGCUGAGAUAAUCUCAACAUCCUUUCGAUCUGGAUUGCUCCUUGAUGAGCUGUGGCACUUGACUAGUGACACUUCCAUUCAUGUGAGCACGAGAGCCUUCGCACUCCUUUAGCGGGCCGCCUGGUUGGCCCUACACAGUCUCCUGCCCGGCACCUUACUCAAGCCCACUCAGCAAGAGGGAGAAGAGGAGGAACCACUUCGUCCAUCGCCAUGGCUUUCCGCCUCCUCGGUAGCAGCUGGAGGAGCCGGCCUGCACCUUGAGGCAUGGAUCCAUUCUGCUCUGCCUUCGACCUUAAGGGCUGUCCUGGUUGUCAGCAGCACCUGGAAUGGUUCUUUCCACCUAAGAGAUAAAGAUACCUUGUCCAGAGAUUUAAUUAGUACAAAAUCACCAACUUGAAAAGGAUGAAUAGGCUCCUCUGAUGGUUUUGGGUGUCUGUCUGAUACCUGCAAAUUAAACUUUCUCAAGGUUUCUGUUAGUCCUUUUACAUACUCUGUCCUAUAUUCAUCAGUCCAUAACUAGAGUGGUUUUGUACAUUUCAUUAGAUCAAACUUGUCAGUUCCUGGUUUACUAUGAUUCAGUUAUUCUGCAGUCACUCUGAGACUAUCCAGUCUCUUAGACAUGACUUUAAUUGAUAUUAAUUUUAUUCAUUAAUAAAAUCAAGUUGUUAAAAAAAGUUUUUUCUUCUUGUUUAUAUUUAUCUUUGCCUUACGGUACUUCCCCGAGAUCUCCAAUAUUGUAUCCACUUUCGAUGGGAAUGCUGUAUCACAAAGUCUCCUUCCACAAUCCCACAAGCAGUCUGUAGGGGAGGUAGACAUUCUGGAUCUUUGGGUGUUUUUGAACCCUCCCCAGUUGCACGCAGAUCAGCUUAUGUAGAAGGUGGACAGAGGACAGUAUGAGUUAGGAUCCCAGAAACAAACCCAGAUUGUCAUAGCAAUUUUACAAUACCGUUCUAACAAAGAGGAACAAGAUGUCUUUAUUUGUCUUUAUUUUACUUUCAGAGCAUCACAGGCUCAAUAUCAUCCCCAAGGCUUGCUUGAUGAGUCU
Siniperca chuatsi (mandarin fish) is the source of this 7370-nucleotide RNA transcript. It is a transcript of the gene named TELO2 interacting protein 1, with no coding region annotated. The record is from RefSeq and is a predicted model, not a curated record. The transcript has 14 exons. Lineage: Eukaryota; Metazoa; Chordata; Actinopteri; Centrarchiformes; Sinipercidae.